This 636-nucleotide ribosomal RNA is filed under the name Triticum aestivum (bread wheat). RNAcentral describes it as "partial small subunit ribosomal RNA". Lineage: Eukaryota; Viridiplantae; Streptophyta; Magnoliopsida; Poales; Poaceae. The record is from RNAcentral.
AUGGCCUCAUCCGCCGCUGCUUCCUCUCCCCUCUCCGGCCAGAUCAUCGAGCGCCUUACCCGCACAAACUACGUCCUAUGGCGCACUCAGAUCACGCCGCAGGUGAGAGGAGCUAGAGUCUUCGGGUACGUUAAUGGAAGCAUGGCGGAGCCGACCGAGUUCGUCGUCAGCAAGGACAAGGAUGGAAAGGAGGAAACCAUCCCCAACCCUCUUCAUGCCGUCUGGUUCCGAGAGGAUCGGCAGGUACUCGGUUAUCUUUUGAAUAACCUGUCCAAAGAGGUGCUAGUGCAGGUCACCUCCAUCGCGCAUGCACGCGAGCUCUGGACGGUGCUGGCGAGAAUGUUCUCGUCGACGUCGCUGUCCCGCAUCAACAACAUCCGCGCCGCCCUCACCAAUGCACAGAAAGGAAUGCAAUCGGUGGCCACCUUCUUCGCAUACAUGUGGGGACUUGCCGACGAGCUCGCUGCGGCUGGCAAGCCGUUGAAGGACGAUGAGUUAAUCUCUUACAUCCUCAACACGCUUGACAUGGAGUACCAGCCGCUGGUGUCUGCUCUCGACGCCCGCACCACUACGGUCACCCUCGACGAGCUGUUCGGGCAGAUGAGCAACUUCGACCAACGGGUGGCUCUUUUCUAG